Molecule: transfer RNA, 71 nt
Filed under: Cordylochernes scorpioides
Lineage: Eukaryota; Metazoa; Arthropoda; Arachnida; Pseudoscorpiones; Chernetidae
Description: tRNA-Gly
Rfam family: tRNA
About the family: Transfer RNA (tRNA) molecules are approximately 80 nucleotides in length. Their secondary structure includes four short double-helical elements and three loops (D, anti-codon, and T loops).
Source: RNAcentral
GCAUCGGUGGUUCAGUGGUAGAAUGCUUGCCUGCCACGCGGGCGGCCCAAGUUCGUUUCCGGGCCGAUGCA